GGGGGAACUACUAUAUUGAAAAAUGUGCAAAAUAGAGAAGAUUUCAUUGAAGAAGUCUGCUGUUUUUGGAAUGGGAAAUUAAGAUCUAAACCUCAAGAUUCAACUGGAUUUUCAUUGAAAUUCACCACGAUCCCCUCUGCAGCUGUGGUCUCAAAAUACCAUUUCUGCAUUUAUUUUAGCUCAUGGAAUAACUCUGCUGAGAAACCACAGAGUCAAUCAGACUCAAAAUGCUUAAAAUCCUUCCUGCUUGGAGUUUUCCGUCUUCACAUCAAAGCAUUUCAUGCCCGUCAGCAACUUUUUAAUGCAUUUGCUCCUCAUUUGCACAAUUUCCAUUUAAAGACGUUCCUUGGCUGACUUCUCUGAUGAAGUUUCCUGCUUGCCAGGAGAGCAAUGCUAAUGCAGAAAUUACAAAGGGGGCUACACGUCCCUUUUCUGGAGGACCUGAUAUUUCAGAUAAUGUUCAACUUCAGUUUUGGAGAAACCACUGUUCUUUGCACCAGGGGAAAAGAAACUGAUUUUCAGUGUGAGCAACCUGUGAAGAUAGAGACAAAUAUAAGUAAAUGAGAAUGUCAUUGAGGAAGAGAAUCGAAGACACAAUAGAAGCACUUACUGGACUCCAUACAGUAAUGUCAUAUCUUUGUUUGUUCUAACUUAAGCUUGCAUGUAUACAAUGGGGUUUAAGAAACUUGGCAAGAGUUUUUUUUUUUUUUUUUUCCUUAAACUGAGUUAAACAGUCUUGACUGACUUCUUUAAAUGAAAGGAAAAAUAAUACACAUAACAAUAGAUUUGAAAAGGAAGAGCCCAAAUCCCCAAGGGCAGUAAUCUUCUGGAAAAUGUUAAUAUUCAUGAGUUAUAGGAAAGUGAUGAGAGCCAACACAUCCCUUUUUUUUUUUUUUUUUUUUUUGCUCCAAGUAAUCAAUUCUUUGCCUACAGCCAAACCAGGCCUUUUAAUAAAAUUAUUAUUACUUAAAAAGUAAAAAGAUAAAAUUAUUAUUUAGCAUUACAUAACUCAAAAAUAAACUCAGGGUUUAUAUUUUAUUGAUAUAUCUUACACAUCAUGUA
RNAcentral lists this long non-coding RNA (1062 nucleotides) under Papio anubis (olive baboon). RNAcentral's name for it is "lncRNA (ENSPANG00000043174.1)". Lineage: Eukaryota; Metazoa; Chordata; Mammalia; Primates; Cercopithecidae. The record is from RNAcentral.